GCCCUUUAGGUAACGGCGAGUGAAGCGGCAAAAGCUCAAAUUUGAAAUCUGGUACCUUCGGUGCCCGAGUUGUAAUUUGGAGAGGGCAACUUUGGGGCCGUUCCUUGUCUAUGUUCCUUGGAACAGGACGUCAUAGAGGGUGAGAAUCCCGUGUGGCGAGGAGUGCGGUUCUUUGUAAAGUGCCCUCGAAGAACCGAGUUGUUUGGGAAUGCAGCUCUAAGUGGGUGGUAAAUUCCAUCUAAAGCUAAAUAUUGGCGAGAGACCGAUAGCGAACAAGUACAGUGAUGGAAAGAUGAAAAGAACUUUGAAAAGAGAGUGAAAAAGUACGUGAAAUCCAUCUAAAGCUAAAUAUUGGCGAGAGACCGAUAGCGAACAAGUACAGUGAUGGAAAGAUGAAAAGAACUUUGAAAAGAGAGUGAAAAAGUACGUGAAAUUGUUGAAAGGGAAGGGCAUUUGAUCAGACAUGGUGUUUUGUGCCCUCUGCUCCUUGUGGGUAGGGGAAUCUGCAUUUCACUGGGCCAGCAUCAGUUUUGGUGGCAGGAUAAAUCCAUAGGAAUGUAGCUUGCCUCGGUAAGUAUUAUAGCCUGUUGGGAAUACUGCCAGCUGGGACUGAGGACUGCGACGUAAGUCAAGGUGGCAGGAUAAAUCCAUAGGAAUGUAGCUUGCCUCGGUAAGUAUUAUAGCCUGUUGGGAAUACUGCCAGCUGGGACUGAGGACUGCGACGUAAGUCAAGGAUGCUGGCAUAAUGGUUAUAUGCCGCCCGCUAAAAAAAGGGGAAAAAAAAUGGAAAAUUGGCAGUAU
This 801-nucleotide ribosomal RNA is filed under the name Saccharomyces cerevisiae (brewer's yeast). RNAcentral's name for it is "LSU rRNA". It matches the Rfam family "Eukaryotic large subunit ribosomal RNA", at positions 77 to 664 of the family's 3401-position model. The record is from RNAcentral. Lineage: Eukaryota; Fungi; Ascomycota; Saccharomycetes; Saccharomycetales; Saccharomycetaceae.